Molecule: long non-coding RNA, 375 nt
Filed under: Musa acuminata (dwarf banana)
Lineage: Eukaryota; Viridiplantae; Streptophyta; Magnoliopsida; Zingiberales; Musaceae
Description: long non-coding RNA (MACU_LNC004294)
Source: RNAcentral
UUUCGUUGUGUAUUCUUACCUGAAGUCUAGAAGAAUAUUUUAGCCGUGGCAAUUUUCGUUGUGUAUUCUUACCCUGAAGUCUAGAAGAAUAUUCUAGCCGUGGCAAUUGAUUACAGGGACAUGAUAGGGAUCACAUUGUUCUUGUAUAGGGUACAUUUGUUCUACAAAUAAAGUUUGUAGAUUUGUAGCAGAUGCAUCUUCCAUCAAAAUGGAACUGUGAUGAGAUCUCAAUACAAGGUGUUCAAUCCAUCAAUUGUGUGAUUUAUGAUGGAUGAUUCUGCAAGAGAGUUAAUUUUUUGAUGUUGCUUGUAUAAUUUUUAUUUAUGGCAAGUUUGCAUACAUUUCCCUCCAAUACAAGUGUUGUCCCAAAUCCUA